UACGUAGGGUCCGAGCGUUGUCCGGAAUUAUUGGGCGUAAAGAGCUCGUAGGCGGUCUGUCGCGUCGAAUGUGAAAACCCGGGGCUCAACCCCGGGCCUGCAUUCGAUACGGGCAGACUAGAGUUCGGUAGGGGAGUCUGGAAUUCCUGGUGUAGCGGUGAAAUGCGCAGAUAUCAGGAGGAACACCGGUGGCGAAGGCGGGACUCUGGGCCGAUACUGACGCUGAGGAGCGAAAGCGUGGGGAGCAAACAGG
This 253-nucleotide ribosomal RNA is filed under the name uncultured bacterium. Its description in RNAcentral is "partial 16S ribosomal RNA". It matches the Rfam family "Bacterial small subunit ribosomal RNA", at positions 524 to 776 of the family's 1533-position model. The record is from RNAcentral.